This 29-nucleotide non-coding RNA is filed under the name Mus musculus (house mouse). The record is from RNAcentral. Lineage: Eukaryota; Metazoa; Chordata; Mammalia; Rodentia; Muridae.
UGCUCAGCUGUGAGAACUAUGAACUCCUG